AUGGCACCCAAGGCUCCUAAAGCUCCCGUGACCUGCAACUUGUUUAAAUCCACUGUUACAGAGAGCAUCUUGUCUGAUUUUGUGAAAUCUGACCAUCUGCCCAAGACGAAGAAGGUCAUAUCUUAUCGUGCUCCUAACCCGUCGGAGGAGAAGCCUCAACCUAAAAAAGGGGAGGUAAUCAUGUUUACUAAUCACAUGAACCGGGGCUUCGGUCCACCCGGUUCAAAAUUCUUCAGGGAUGUUUUGCAUUUAUUUGACCUCAGACCUCAAGACAUCGGGCCCAAUUCUGUGUCAAACAUCUGCAACUUCCAAGUCUUUUGCGAGGUGUACCUUGGAGAAGAGCCCAAUAUACUUCUAUUCAGAGAGUUGUUCUAUUCAAACCGGUAG
This 387-nucleotide ribosomal RNA is filed under the name Triticum aestivum (bread wheat). Its description in RNAcentral is "partial small subunit ribosomal RNA". Lineage: Eukaryota; Viridiplantae; Streptophyta; Magnoliopsida; Poales; Poaceae. The record is from RNAcentral.